ACGUGGAGACAGGUGGUGCAUGGCUGUCGUCAGCUCGUGUCGUGAGAUGUUGGGUUAAGUCCCGCAACGAGCGCAACCCUCACCCCUAGUUGCCACCGGGUAAAGCCGAGCACUCGAGGGGAACUGCCAGCGUCAAGCUGGAGGAAGGCGGGGAUGACGUCAAGUCAUCAUGCCACUUACGCCCUGGGCUACACACGUGCUACAAUGGCCGGUACAAAGGGACGCGAGACUGCAAAGUGGAGCUAAUCCCAAAAAACCGGUCUAAGUUCAGAUUGCAGUCUGCAACUCGACUGCAUGAAGGAGGAAUCGCUAGUAAUCGCGCAUCAGCACGGCGCGGUGAAUACGUUCCCGGGCCUUGUACACACCGCCCGUCACACCACGAAAGCUGUCUGUACUCGAAGUCGCUGAG
Molecule: ribosomal RNA, 409 nt
Filed under: uncultured Methylomirabilota bacterium
Lineage: Bacteria; Methylomirabilota (SeqCode)
Description: bacterial SSU rRNA
Rfam family: Bacterial small subunit ribosomal RNA
Source: RNAcentral